CAGCCGCCGCGGUAAUACGAAGGUCCCGAGCGUUGUUCGGAAUCACUGGGCGUAAAGGGAGCGUAGGCGGCGUGGUAAGUCAGAUGUGAAAUCCCGGGGCUCAACCCCGGAACUGCAUCCGAUACUGCCGUGCUAGAGGAUUGGAGAGGUAGCUGGAAUUCUUGGUGUAGCAGUGAAAUGCGUGGAGAUCAAGAGGAACACUCGUGGCGAAAGCGAGCUACUGGACAAUAUCUGACGCUGAGGCUCGAAGGCCAGGGUAGCGAAAGGGAUUAGAUACCCCCGUAGUCCCUGUCUCUUAUAC
This 301-nucleotide ribosomal RNA is filed under the name uncultured bacterium. Its description in RNAcentral is "partial 16S ribosomal RNA". It matches the Rfam family "Bacterial small subunit ribosomal RNA", at positions 509 to 807 of the family's 1533-position model. The record is from RNAcentral.